UCCCAGGACCAUGGAAUCAUGACCUGGGCCACUCCACAAUUAUUGGAGUUUUUUGCUAUUGAGUGUUAGGAGUUUCCUAUAUAUUUUGGAGAUGAACCCGUUACCAGGAUUAUGAUUUGCAAAUCUUUUCUCCCAUUCCAUAGGUUGCCUUUUUAUUUUGUUGAUGGGUUUCCUCGGUGGUGCAGAAGCUUUUUAGAUGCAUAUCGCCCCACUCGCUUCAGUGCUUGCUUUUGUGGUGUUUGGUGUGUAAAUGAACUCUUAGGACUGCUUUUGCCCUGAAGGCCUCUGCCAAACUCUGCAGGGAGCUGCUGUGAAACUGAGCCGCAUUUCUGCUCACUGGCCUCGAAGCUGGAGAAGGACAGCAGUGUGAAGUCCGAGGGACACCCCCGCAACCCCCGCACCACACAUGCUCAGGGACACCAAGGUUGUCAUGCUUUGAAUUUGUGGUGGAUGACGUGCCAAUCCGUGGCUCUGUGGGCCAUGAGAGCUGCUUCCUGCUACAUAGCCACAAGCUUUGCUGAGAAGACAGGAAGAAAUGGUGGAGAAAAAGGGAGAGGUGGAGAAGAGACAAAGAAUGAAGAACAUGAAGAACAUGGGAGUGUCCCCACACAGGGAAUGGCCUCGAUUUGGUCCCUGUUAGGAAUCUAAUAAGGAUCUAAAAUGUCACGAAGCCUGACUAGAGAGGCAGAUGCGACACAAAAGUGGCCAAAGAGGGGACUCAAAGUGGAGGCUGAGCAGCUCAGCUGAUAGUGGUGUGGCUGGGUGAUGAGCCAGCUCCCUGUGGCUUUGCACUCCGGGGGAGCACAACUCCAACCAGCUGCAAGGCCACACCAGGGCCCUUGUCUCGGAUGAGGCCUCCUGAAGGAGCCCUCCCUGCUGUGUCUCUAGCUAUGUCCCUCCUGCCCCUCUGCCUGUCUCACCAGACUGCUGCCCCUCUGACCUGGUCUUGCAGGUGGGCCUGACCGCCAGGUUCUUGGUGAUCAGGAGGGUCCUCUCCUGGCAGGCUGAUGCUGAAUGAGAGUUGGGUCUGCCCAGAAGCUGUGACCACAUACGCUACAUGUAUGGGGUCUCUGCUGUACAACUUUUCUAACUUGGAACAAGACACUCACCUGGCCUGGAGUUUUGGUCACUUCCAUCAUAUCACUGUCGUGGCUGCUUCUUCCCUCUCCAGCUUGAGAACUCUUCUCUUGGGCAGGGAAGCUGCUUGGCCUCCCGUCUGGAGGUUCCCUAACGCUGGUCUAAGGUUCUGGAACAUUCUGAGGUAUAUCCCAGCUCUGGUACCUGUGAAGCGUCACCCGUGGAUCUUCUUUCAGCAAGUUCCUGAUCUGAACAAGGUUGAACGCCCUGUCCUUACACCUUCACCAUCUGGAAUCCCUAUGUUGAAAAUUCAAAUGUUACCUGUUUGCUCUGCAAAGAAAAGCCAUGGAAAUAAAAUGCACACUCACUGCUGGGGAUAGAUUGAAUAAACUAUGACAUACAAUACAGCAGGGAAAGGUGAAGUAUAGAAAAGUAAUUAAUGAUCAUACCUUUUCUAAAAAAAAAAAAAAAAAAAAGCCAAGGUUAUGAGGGUCGUCUGGGUGUUGCAGUUGGUUAGGGAGCUGACCCUUGAUUUUGGCUCAGGGUAUGAUCUCAGUGUCCUGGGAUUGAGCCUGACUGGGGCUCCAGGCUCUCUGGGGAGUCUGCUGGAGAUUUUUCUCCCUCUCUGUCUGCCCUUCCCCCUGCACAUAUGCUCUCUUUCUCGCUUUCUCUAAAAUAAACAAGUCUUUAACAAAAAAAGCACAUUAUGAAAUAUUAUGUGUACGGUAAGAUUAUGAAGUAUGUUCUAUUUGUUAUUAAAUUCAAUUUGUAGUUUUUCAAAUGUUCCAUCAUGAGCAUAUGGUACUUUUAUAAGGAGAACACCCCCAAGUUAUUUUACAAACCUGGAUAGAAGAUGAAAAAAACAGGAGCUUUAAAAUAUUUUUAAAAAAUACCCUAAUAUUCAAGCGGUGGGGAUGGAGGCAGGGCAAGAAGGAAAUUCUGAGAAGUUUGGAUAGACCUUGGGCUCUCCCGGCCACGCAGCUAUAUGUGCAGGAGGCGGGCAGCUGAGGAAGCUGCCCCAAAGGGCCAAGGCUAGUGACCCCUAAGAAGGGGUGUCCUGGCGUCGAAGCUUGAGGUAACUGUAGAAAGGGUUACCUGCAGGGGGAGCAGAGCUGGAUUUGAGGGUGUGGCCCUGUGUUGGUCAAAGGACUCCUGAUACAUCAUCAUAAUAAAAAAAAUAACUUGCACAUGUAGGCACUUUAUGGUUUACAAAGCACUUUCUCCUCCUUGAAGCUUAUAGAGGAGGAAACAGAGGCACAGCACAGCCAGUAUGCAGCAGAACCAGGACCUGAAUCCAGCUGUUUCCAGCUCUCGCUGUACUGAGCUACGCUGCCCAGCUGCCCUUUAAGAGCUCAGGCACUGAGAGAGUAUAAAAGUAAGGAGGAUAUUACACUUUACAAUUGGAACCUAAACACUGACCCAUUAGGACAGAUGCUGGUCUCAUCUGGAGAUCCAGAAGCCUCCUGUAGGGCCAGGCGAUGGCAAUUGGAUGCUGGACUCUAGGAAGCACCUGAGAGUCAGAAGGGAGUCGCUGGGGUGGCCCAGGAGGCUGGCAGGGCACUCUGGGACACGGAACAGCAGCUGCUCACCAACCAGUCCAGAAGUAUUUCACUACUUUAACCACUCAUCCACCCAUCCAUUCUGGUGGCACCAGGUAAACGUCAUGCCAGCCUAUGGCCUCCCCGAUUGUGUCCCACAGAUCCCGGUGGUGACAGAUAACUCUAGAAGUUGUCCUAUGUGUCAGUUAUUUCAGCAGGGGAGCUCUGCAGUCAAACCACAUUUCCACAGAAAGGGAUGUGGUGGUCACCUAAUGUAAGUGACCAUGGACGUGUCUGAAUCUGUGAAGUCCAUUAUUGGCCGCUUGGGCUCCUGCCAAGAUCAGGGGCACUGUGGAUCUAAAGCAGCAGCCCCCUAGCGGUGUCGUUUGGCUUUGCAAUGAGCACUUACAGUCUGAGUACAAAAAAUUGUACUGACUUCUGAGAAUUUAUAGCAGACGAACAAUGAGGUUAACAACCUCUUCUCUGAAGUAAGAGACAGGAGCGUGCCCAGGCCACCCCCCGCCCCCCGCCGCCGCCUGCUUCUCCCUUGGGCUGGGAUGGAUGCUUUGUUGGGUCUGUUCUCUUGAUUCCCAACUGAGAAGGCUCCCCUCCAUAUACCCAAGGUGGCUGGAUCUCCCGGGUUCCCUUCAAAUGCUCAGUACAGGCUACACGAAGGAAAGAAGAAAGGUGCUAUUAUUGUCAACAAAGGUCUUCAUGAGCCACACCAUGGAGUGUGCUUUAGCUAAAAAGCUAGCACACCAGAAUUCAAAACAGCCUAGUACACUCAGCUGUGGCUGGGACACCAGUGGAUGAUGGAAAUUCCCUGCUGUGCUCCAACUGGAGUUCAGUACCUCUUUGAAAUUAAGGUCUCCUGCUAGUCAGAUGAUCACACUCCACUCCCAGCACAGGUCUGUAGGCUGUCAUAUCAGCCCUGCUUUCAACACAGGACCGACCACCCAAGAAAAAGAUCGAAGACCCUGGUCUCCUCCCCAGAGGACGCUGCCUCUUACCACUGGUGUGGAAAGGGGUGGAGUUCUCAAGAUCCAUGUGUGAACUGGGGCCCACUGUGGCUAAAGCUGGUGAUGUGUGGGGAUUCUUGUGCUGGGGGUGGGGCUGCUAUCUUCCUCCAGAGAACUUCCUGUCAUGGAGAUGGUUAAGAAAAUAGAGGGCAGCCCCGAUGGCCCAGCGGUUUGGCGCCACCUUCAGCCGGGGUAUGAUCCUGGAGACCCAGGAUUGAGUCCCACAUCGGGCUCCCUGCAAGGGCGCCUGCUCCCUCUGCCUGUGUCUCUGCCUCUCUCUCUGUGUGUCUGUCAAAAUAGGGAGCUCUAAAGGAAAUAAAGGUAAUUACUUGCUUUUUUUUUUUUUUUUCUAAGAAAAUGUCUUGUUAGACCUUUUCUUCCAUUGUAUUUCUUUUAAAAUGAUUCUUUUUUGGUCACAAAGCAUUAUUUGUUCAUUGCAAAAAAUAAUUAAAUGU
Canis lupus familiaris (dog) is the source of this 4089-nucleotide long non-coding RNA. RefSeq lists it as uncharacterized. The transcript has 4 exons. NCBI's taxonomy places the organism in Eukaryota, Metazoa, Chordata, Mammalia, Carnivora, Canidae. The record is from RefSeq and is a predicted model, not a curated record.